UCUCCUCUCUCCAAGUCCCUUUAUGGAGAAACGCCAUCAGGUGACUUUGAAGUGCCCAAAAAUUCCUGCUAUACUGAAAAUAUAAUCAGAGGAUAGUUAUGAUCCGGAGCAGGUGUUUAUUCUUUGAAGGAGGAAGCGGACACUAUUGCUGCUGCGGUACAGUCUUUUGUUCUUAAUUACAAAAAAAACAA
Long non-coding RNA from Oryzias melastigma (Indian medaka), 191 nucleotides. RefSeq lists it as uncharacterized. Lineage: Eukaryota; Metazoa; Chordata; Actinopteri; Beloniformes; Adrianichthyidae. The record is from RefSeq and is a predicted model, not a curated record. The transcript has 2 exons.